Molecule: non-coding RNA, 3876 nt
Organism: Coturnix japonica (Japanese quail)
Lineage: Eukaryota; Metazoa; Chordata; Aves; Galliformes; Phasianidae
Source: RefSeq, a predicted model, not a curated record
CACAGCCUCCUUGGGCAACCUGUGACCCACUUGGGUUAUAAUAUGUAGCACAGCUUCUCAGCCCUGUUCUCUUUUGUAGGAAAGACAGACACCUUGAUUUUACCGUUGACACUGUUGUGGACAAGUUCACAUGCAGAUAACCUGCUGCUGUGAUUUAGCACCAGCUUCAAGCCUUUGAGACUCGUCCACCCUCCAAGAAGGGAUGAUUCCUCAGCUAUAGUUUCUUCCCACAGAAAAUCUGUAUGGUAGUGCUGGCAUACUCUGAACUAGGGUGUGUGCAGCAGGUGAGAUGCAGCAUGGUGUGAAAGUAACAGAUCUUGACAUUCCCUUAAACUCCUGAUCAGGUUUGUUGGCUUUCUGUUUUGUCCUUUUUGAUCUGUGACUUCAGCAGGGUGCAUAUGCCAGAUAGAUGUAGGGGAAAACUCAUAGGCAAGCUUGCGCUGAACUUGUCCCAGAGGGGUUCUCAUGCAAUUGCAAGACCUCCCAGAGGAAUACCUAACACGAAGAGAUUGUCUUUGACUCAUCCUUGCUAAAGAUAAUGGAGGUGGCAUGUACCAGGACUUAGCCAGGAUCUCAGGAUCAGCACUGCAGAUCCCAACAGCCUUGGGAAAGCAUGGAACCAAUGCAUCUGUACCAUGGAGAUGGGCACUGUGACAUUGCUGUGGCCCAGGCAGAGGUGGGUCCUCUGCUAUAUUUUGGUCCUGAGCUCCUCAGUAAGUUCUCGUGACACUGAUAGAAAGAACCAGUCGAGAUAAAGCUCAGUUGUCUCCUUUCUGCCAUUUUUCCCCCAGUCAAUGCCCCAGGCAGGUGAAGGAUGGUGCACCUAAUGUCAAGCAGCUGCUCCUUCACUAAUCUUAGCUCUCAUUGGUAUUCAACACUGCUGUUUUUAAGGCCUGAUUUUUUGUAAGGCUUAUGGGAGAAACAGAGUGCCCAGCAUCACCCUGAGGGUCACCUUGCCUGCAGUUGUUUUGUGUGAGUGUUAUACACCCACUGCUGUUCUGUGAGGUCACAGAUAGAGAACCAUUCUUGGGGUGCUGUCACCAGGCUCCUGUUUGGAUCUGAGUCUUGGAGAUCUGCAUCUGAUUAGCCAAGAUGUUGGUAGAGUUAAUGCAGAUGUAGAAGCAUCACUGACUCCUACACAUAGAUGAACACAGAAUUGCCUCCAUCUCACCAGACUGAGGACAGCUGCUCUGUUCUGGACCCAAGCUUCUCUGAUCUACUGACCAGACUGCUUAAACUGAAGGAUCCAUGUUAGCCAAGGAAGAAGAUGAGGCAGCAAGCAAAGCAGCUGGUGGCUGGGAGCUCUGCUGGAGAGAGGUGACCACUGCAGUGAACGUGUGCUGAGAUCCUCCUGAGCUGAAACAUCAGCACUGUCUGCUGGACCCCAAAUAUUCUGCUUUUUGCUUUCCAUGCCCUAUCGUUUCUGCACAAAGCUAGAGAGCAUGCAGGACAUUCAGACUGACAUGACUUAGGUAAAGCAGAGAAUAUCCUGCCUGAAAUGAAGCAUCUUCCCACAAACUGAGUUCAUCCUUCAAGGUACUCAAACCUCAGCUGGACGCAGCCCUGAGCAGAAGUCCUCACUGGAUCUGCUUUGAGCAGGGGGUUGGACUGCUGAGAUCCCAAUCGUGGCUGCAGCACUGUGAGUGAGCACAGUGAGCAGGAGGGGAGCCUUCAAGCUUCAGCGCCAGGACCAAAUAUUUACCCUCUGCACGCUGCUUUCCUCUUGGAAUCCUCUGAGUGUCCUAGAGGAACAGCUACAAGUGGAGUGAAGGAAGAGGACAGCAAAGCUUGUCUCCACGUGACAUCUGUGGACACUUCAGAGCCACCAUCACUCACAUGGAUCUGAAAGGAAAGCUCUCAACGUGCUCGCAGGGAUGUUCAAAAAGGGAAGCCAAACUGAAGCCGGCACAAGCUCGGACCUGACUAUGUGUCAUGUGUGUGAGGACGGAGAGUCAGAGGAGACAUUCAUGCUCACCGAGUUGAUGUGAUUGUUGGCAAGGGAGCAGCUGUUCACUGGGAGAUGCAAAUGUGAUCCAGAAAGGGGCUACCAGUGGAGCAGAACGUGCCACCACCUCUGGCAAUGUCAGUGGUGCUGAUAAACCAGGGAAGACAGGCUACAUUCAUUGGAGGUACUAGGGAUAAGCAGGUGAGUUAUGGCGGCACCCGGACAGCUGUGGAGCCAAGUAAUUCCCAUUAUACUUCUGUCUUCUGCCAAAAGUCUAGGAACUAAAUCCACUGCUCAGACUCUGAGAAGGAGGUGGAAGCCCCCUCUGCUUCCACGAGUGGCGCUCAGGGAACCUUGCUCACCCCCAGUUUGCUCUCAGUGCUGGAAGUGCUGCCCUCUCAUGUAACUCUGAUGGACUCAGAGAGCAGUAACAGCUCCAAGCAAACCAAGAGCCCCAGGGUGUUUGCACACAUCAGCACAGUGACAACUAGUCGUAGAUCCUGGGGACAAAACAUGCCUUGUUAAACUUCCUGGUGGUACAGAGAAGUCUUAGAUUACCCAAAGAACUGCCAGCUAUGGGGAAAAAGAAAGCAUUUUGAAAGCUUGGUGUGUUUAAGGCACACUCAGACCUUCAGAUGUGUCUGCCAAAUUAUCUUCAAAUAACACGUAGCAACAGUGAUACUCUGAAAGCUCUGUUCUGGUCCAAAGAAAUUCCACCUGCUUGUUUUCUGCCUGUUUCUUCUGUGUCUUACCUGCACAGCAACUGUUCCAGAUGUGCUAGACUAGAUUAAACAGAAUGUUCUCAUUUAGGAAUAAACACAGGUUCUGUUUUUAGCUUAACGCAUUUUGGUUCGACACUGUGAGCAUCCACGCAGGUAAUUUGGAAAGAUGCUCCAGUUCAGACUUGCAUGCUGUGUAAUUACCACCAGGUGCAGAGCAAUCGCUGUGGCACCAUGAUGUGAGCAGCAGGAUGGCUGACACAGCUGAGGUGUCAGGGCUUGCUGGCCCAAAUAAAUGCCAGCUCGUGCCAAUGCUGGAUAUGGGGUGGUAGGAGGCAGGGAAAAGAAGCUGGCAAAGCUUGGUCUCCUUUGCACAGCUUUGUCAGAUGCAGGCAGUUACUGACUCGAGGCAAGAUUUCCUAAAUUGCACUGCUCAUGCUUCCUGGGCCAGCAUGUGCAUGUACUUGCGUGCAGAACAGCCAUGGAUGAAGGGUUCCGGGUCUGCAAUGCACAGCAUGCCAGUAGCUGUGGUUGUCUUAAGAAGAAGCAAGAGGGAACCUGACCCUGCAGCCAGCCAAACAGCGGUGCAAUCAAGAAGAAUGAGCUGAGCCUGGAAAUAUUUUUGAUCAUCAUUUUCCAAACGAAUCUAUUUUUGCAGAGACUUGAUUUGUCCGCGUUUCUGGGCUCAGACAGCAAGAGCAAUUUCUGGGGCUGUUCACAAUGGCUGAACCUACCCCACAGUUCUCACAUUGGAUCAGCACCUUUGGCACCCACUCCUGACGUGAAUGCCUGAUGCAGUGUUGAAGGGCCUGUUCUGAUAUGAAUUUCCUUCUAACUGAAGCUUCUAAAGACUCCUGUCCAAUAACAGGGUAUUUCUUUCCCUUCCUCACUUCCACGGGUUAUUCUGGAAAAUCAAUUCUCAAGAUGCUAUGGCAGGAAGAAUAAAAACAGCCAAACACAUGAACUAAUCUCUCUGACAGCACAAUUACUUCCAAGCGCCUAUAGUGUAGAGACAAAGAAGCCUGUAGAAGGAAACAGAGGGAAUCCCCUAUACAAAAGAAGGAAAUUUGGGAAGAAUGACUAAUCCAAGAGAGAAAAUUAGGUGUUGUGUUGUUAGCAAGACAAAGGGGUCUCAAAAUACCAAGCUGAUAUCUGUGUCAUGCAGGGUGCCAGGACAUAAUGCUGCAGUACUGGACCUUACUGGUGGAGCAG